This is a long non-coding RNA of Daphnia pulicaria, 982 nucleotides long. RefSeq lists it as uncharacterized. The transcript has 3 exons. The record is from RefSeq and is a predicted model, not a curated record. Lineage: Eukaryota; Metazoa; Arthropoda; Branchiopoda; Diplostraca; Daphniidae.
GUCUGGAAAAAGUCUCUUGACUUUAUUCAACGACAAUAUCUAUUUACCGGUCGAAAGUUUUUGAUCGCAUUUCUCUCGGUUCACGCGGUGGUGUACAUACUGGUGGAUUUUAAGCAUAACGACACGCGAUGGCCGACCCAGCAGCACUAAUUAUAAAAGCUUCGGUAUUUUCCAGCUGUGCUGUCCUGUCGCCCGCCCCCAACGUGAAACUGAUUCAACUUGUUUGACGGUCUCCCAGGUCGUGCACUUAGACGGGAUAGUCGGGUGCUGGGGGAGAGAAAAACUCGUUGCCUGGAAGUGCUGUGCUGCUCUCUCCCUUAUACCUUGAGGCAAUUCCGCAGAAAGGUUUCCAGCCCGGUCCAUUACCUUUGAGGUCGAUCUGCUUUUGAUGACGAUAGCAACCGUUUUUCUAUACAUAUACAUGCCAGCCUUGGUUGUGUGUUGCAGCAGGAGGGCGUUGGCCGUCCAUAACAGUCAUCAAUGUCGAUGGCGCUCAGGAUUGCGUGCUGUGCCGGCCCAGUGUCUCUUCCAUGUCGACUCUGAGAUGAACACUUAAGAUAUUAUGGCCUAAAAAAAAAAACCCCUUCUCUCUCCCGUUUUCGAUUGUCACGGAAUAAGCCAAGACGGACGACGGCCAAAGAGCAGCUCCGCUAAGAUGACUUUUCUUUAUCUGCAAUUCAAUCGGGCGGUUGGCCAUGGCGACAGCCAAUAAAUCUGUAACAUCCAAUCUACUAGCUACUAUACUCCGACCGCUAAGCGAAUCAAUUCCAGGUGCCGUGCAACUUCUCUGGGUUCGUAUUAUUUUUCUCCUCUCAGUUUUCCUUCUUCUUCUUCUAUUGCCGAUCAUCUCGCCAUUUUUCUACACACAUCCCAGUUUCUUUUUUUCUUGUGACUGGUGAGAAGAGGAUGAUACCCUUUUGGAAUAUGAUAUGUAUAUGACGGCUGCACUUAACGACACUGGUACUCCUUUGAUAUUUCUUUG